This 1791-nucleotide long non-coding RNA is filed under the name Homo sapiens (human). RNAcentral's name for it is "HSALNT0286378". The record is from RNAcentral. Lineage: Eukaryota; Metazoa; Chordata; Mammalia; Primates; Hominidae.
UCUGUGUGUGCGUUCGGUGUGUGGCCGGGUGUGGGGGGUGUGUGCGCGGAGCACGUUUUAGCUGGAGUGCUUGGUGUGGUGUGUAUUUGGUUUGCGCUUUGACAUGCAGCAUGUGUUUGUGUGUGCACGCUUAUAGGUUGUAUGUUUCUGCCCGAUUAUAGUGGGAUUAUGUGGGUGCGGUUUGAAGGUGGGUGUGUGCUGUUCCUGCCGGGGUUUGUGGUCGUGCUGUGGUGAGUGUAUAUGUGUGUGCAAUGUGUGGAUGUGUGUGUGCCCGUUGAAGCUUGUGUGCAUAUGUGUGGAGUGUGUUUAUGCUUAGAUGCAGUGUGUCAAUGUGGGUUUACAGGUGGUGUCUGUUGAACUGUGUAGUGUGUGAAUGUGUGCGUGUGCAAGAUUUCUCUAUAAGUCAAUCUACUUGAGAUGUGUGUUCAAAGGUUUAUGCAUGUGAGGGUGCGGUGUGUGUCUUUUGGUGUGAUGUUCUCAUGUGUGUGGUGUGGACGCAUGUGGUCAGCUUACGUGCUUGGAUGAAGGGGUUGUGUGUGUCUUGAAGGGGGAUUGCCGCGUAAGUGUAUGGGUGCGGUGUGUGAGAGUACAGGGUUGUCUAAAAGAACCCAAGUGACCGUGUGUGUGGUUGGGGGCGGGGACGAGUGGGACGUUGGGCUGGGACUGAGAGAAGAAAGGAAGUAGGGGCCGCGACCCCGGCAGGGGUUCCCGCUGGUCUGAUCUUCACCGUGGGGGUUCGCCUGCCCGCCCACCUCUGUGUCGGCAAGGCCCGCUGGGGCAGGGUGUGAAUGUACCUGGCUGCUUAAAGGAAAGAAGAGGAGGGCACCGCACGUGAUUGGCCAGCCCUGUUCCUUCCUUUUGGACUAAUGGCUGAGUGACCCAACUGGAUUUCCUUGGCUUGAACCUGAGCAAGCCCUCUCUCUCUAAAGACUUGAAUGCCUACUCCCUUCACUGAGUGGUUUCUUCUGUUCCUGGCCAACUCAGAGUACUUGAGAGACUGGAGCAUUGGGGAUCAGAUUUUGGUGUGCAUCUGCAUCAUCUGGGAUACUUUUCAAAUGCAGACCCCCAGGCCUCGACUAAAGUGCUUCUGAUAUGGAUAAUUUAUAGAUCACACAUUGAGAAAUACUGCUGUGUGCUAUGGGAUUAAUAUUUGAUGUAUAAAAUGAAUAUGAGUAGCUACAUAACCACAGUUUUAUUGAUCAAAGACAUGAGUAGCUGGGAGAGAGAAACACUCUUUUCCCUUCCCUCCUCAGGUCACCUAAUCAUCAGAACCUUAUUCACUCCAAUGUCAGAAACCCACAUCAAGGAUGCAUUGAUCUGGCAUCCCCAGUGAGCUAAGUUCCCAGGAGACUAAGCCACCAGUAACCAUCACACCUCUCCACCUCCCUCAAUGAAGAACUUGCCACUACUGAAAGUAUAAGAUAAUAAUAGAUUAAAAUCCAUUAAUCAGUUAUGAAAUCGACGUGUACCAGAAAUAUUUAACUGCUGGCUCUACUACUUACCAACUCUGGGAUCUUAGAUGCAAUCCCUAGUGAGCCUGAUGAUCAAACUUCUGAGCGAUCAGAUUCCUGAAAGAGCAGUCUCUCCAUGACAAAAGAUGGAUUUGGAAAUGAGAAAGCAAUUUCUGUAAAACUUCUGCACCUGUGGUAGACUCAGAAACACACACAAGGCUAUAAAUGUCUUUAUGCACUUAUUAAUUUUCCAAUAAACAUACUCAACAGUACACCUAAUAGGGAAGUUCUGUGAUUAAUUUUUCAAACAAUAAGAAAAUAAAUGAUCAGAAAGGCUUAC